This 151-nucleotide unclassified non-coding RNA is filed under the name uncultured Basidiomycota. RNAcentral's name for it is "sequence contains ITS1". Lineage: Eukaryota; Fungi; Basidiomycota. The record is from RNAcentral.
AUGAAAAUAUCAAGGAGCUGUUGCUGACUUCGGUCGUGCACGCUUCUGUUUUCAUCCACUCACACCUGUGCACUUUAUUAAUGGAGGGGUAACACUUUCCAUUACUAUCACACACUUCGUAUUAUAAGAACGUCUCGAUAAUAAAAAGUAA